Mangifera indica (mango) is the source of this 98-nucleotide small nucleolar RNA. RefSeq annotates it as small nucleolar RNA snoR8a. The transcript has a single exon. The record is from RefSeq and is a predicted model, not a curated record. NCBI's taxonomy places the organism in Eukaryota, Viridiplantae, Streptophyta, Magnoliopsida, Sapindales, Anacardiaceae.
GUGGUUGUGAUGAUUGAAAGAAAAUUCCUUGUGUUGAAUAAGUUAUGGCGAUGGCGAUGGCAUGAUAGGCUGGCUUACACCCAUAGAAUAUGAGCGCC